GACCGUUCCGGCCGUGCGUGUUUGCAUGAUGUGCAACUUGUUUCUCCUAACGUAACGUUAGUGAAAGUUGGAAGUGUAUCAAAGUUUUUCCGAAAUUCAGAAAUAUUGGUUGUUAUCACCUUAGGUUGUGUUGAUAUUGUGAGUUUUGAUAAUUCAAAAAUUUGACAGGUAGUACCUUUGAAGUGAAAGGCAGUGAUAUUGGCCAAGUGCAUUGAGCCGUUACUAACUGAUUUCCAGAAAUUUGCAGUUGCAGAUCGUAAGCAGAUAUGAGCCUCUCUUGGCAGCAGAUGAUGAUGAUGGUGAUGAGGAUGAUAAUGAUGAUCAGAACAUUGAAACCUUCAAACAGAGAAGACGAGUAAAGGGAGCAAAGAAGAG
Long non-coding RNA from Lytechinus pictus (painted urchin), 375 nucleotides. RefSeq lists it as uncharacterized. The transcript is spliced from 4 exons. Lineage: Eukaryota; Metazoa; Echinodermata; Echinoidea; Temnopleuroida; Toxopneustidae. The record is from RefSeq and is a predicted model, not a curated record.